AUAAAAUAAAGUUACAACCUGAUACCAGCUGUAACACAAUCAACAUAAUAAUCCAAUAAAAUACAGAUUGGAAGUUACAUUACAAUCCCAAAUGACAUGAUAUUAUACGUUCAUCAAACAAUCUAUCCACAAGAGAAAACAACCAAAAGCCAAGAAUAAAUAGAAAAAGUAGCUAGAUACUCCAUUAGCGAAGUAGUAAUAAUAUGGUCUUCAAAUAUCCACCAUAUGAUGAUCACUUGGUGAGGACCCAAAUAGCAUAAAUGAUACCAGGUAGCCACCCAAAGAGAGUCAGCAAAACACAGAUCCAGAACUCCACCUGGCAGUUAAAUUUGAGGAAAACACCAAGGGGAGGCAAGAUAAUGGCCAGAAGAAUGUCUAUGCAUGUCAUAGUGUUGUCUCCCAUUUUCUCUUCUGAUAAUCAAAUGCUAAUUAAACAAUCAGUAGGUAUUUUGAUUAAAACAGGAGGAAGUUGUGGCCACUAUAUAUAGG
This 489-nucleotide unclassified non-coding RNA is filed under the name Hevea brasiliensis (rubber tree). Lineage: Eukaryota; Viridiplantae; Streptophyta; Magnoliopsida; Malpighiales; Euphorbiaceae. The record is from RNAcentral.